RNAcentral lists this unclassified non-coding RNA (245 nucleotides) under Hevea brasiliensis (rubber tree). Lineage: Eukaryota; Viridiplantae; Streptophyta; Magnoliopsida; Malpighiales; Euphorbiaceae. The record is from RNAcentral.
UCAUGAAUCACGUAGAAAACAAAUGCUAGGGGACAACUUUGGCAUUUAAAAAAUUGGCAUAGAAUCUGAACCAAUCAGCUAGGACUAUGACAAGAGAGUGAACAUCUCUGUGGGUGCUGCAGAACACCACAUACCUAGUUCCGCAUAAGAUGCGCAUAUAGAAUAAAUUUAGAUAUCAACAACUAACUGAGUUCCAGAACUUCCCUCCACUCCCCCACCGCUUUCUCCCCAAAGUUGAAAACAUG